This is a long non-coding RNA of Pelobates fuscus (common spadefoot toad), 258 nucleotides long. RefSeq lists it as uncharacterized. Lineage: Eukaryota; Metazoa; Chordata; Amphibia; Anura; Pelobatidae. The record is from RefSeq and is a predicted model, not a curated record. The transcript has 2 exons.
UAAACAAGACCAUGACUAUGAAGAUAUGGAGACUGAGCUGAAGAUGCUACGUGUGACAAAUAAGAAAGCUUUUUAAAACUUGCAAAGAUGAAUUCUCACCUGGAGAAAAGAACAUUCUUUACUGUAACCAUUGUCCUAUUCUUGAUCUUCAGUUGCUAGAGUGCUUCAAAUCCAUAUGUAUAUAUACAUUGAAACAGAAAAUGACAAAUGUUACUCCUCAAUGUCUCAAUUCUCAAUCACAAUUAGAAUCUGCUGAUU